CCCUUAGAUGUUCUGGGCUGCACGCGUGCUACACUGAUGCGCUCAACGAGUUUAUAACCUUGUCCGGCAGGAUUGGGUAAUCUUUUUAAAACGCAUCGUGAUGGGGAUAGAUUAUUGCAAUUAUUAAUCUUCAACGAGGAAUUCCUAGUAAGCGCGAGUCAUCAGCUCGUGCUGAUUACGUCCCUGCCCUUUGUACACACCGCCCGUCGCUCCUACCGAUUGAGUGGUCCGGUGAGGCUUUGGGAUCUGAGCGGAAAGAGCGUUUCGCUGUUUCUGCCCGGAAAACUCAGUCGAACCUUAUCAUUUAGAGGAAGGAGAAGUCGUAACA
RNAcentral lists this ribosomal RNA (328 nucleotides) under uncultured eukaryote. Its description in RNAcentral is "partial 18S ribosomal RNA". It matches the Rfam family "Eukaryotic small subunit ribosomal RNA", at positions 1470 to 1796 of the family's 1831-position model. The record is from RNAcentral.